This is a non-coding RNA of Agelaius phoeniceus (red-winged blackbird), 3602 nucleotides long. NCBI's taxonomy places the organism in Eukaryota, Metazoa, Chordata, Aves, Passeriformes, Icteridae. The record is from RefSeq and is a predicted model, not a curated record.
ACUAUCUCUUGGCACACUCAAGAAAAGAAACAAGUGAUGAAAAUUUGUAAAUCAACUUUAUUCAAGGAUGACCAUGUUUAGGCAUCGGCAAUAGUAACUUCAACUUCUACGCCUGGCUCGAUGCUGAUGGAAGUGAUCUGCUUCACGAUCUCCGAAGGGCUGUGAAGGUCGAUGAGCCGCUUAUGGAUACGCAUUUGGAAGCGAUCCCAGGUCUUGGAACCCUCACCACAAGGCGUCUUCCUGGUAGUGAUCCGCAGGGUCUGAAAAGUCAAACACGGGGCAUUGAGCUGAUGCACUGAGAGAGAGGAGUAAUCUACAACCACAUGGAAAGAUCAUCACCUACAAAUACUGGGGGUUGCCCAGAGGAUGGAGCCAGGCUCUUCUCGGUGGUGCCAACCAGUAAGACAGGAGACAACGGGCAGAAACUGAUGCACAGAAGUUCCAUCUGAACACGAAGAACUUUUUUACCGUGCAUGUGACUCAGCACAGGAACAGACUGCCCAGAGCGGCUGUGUAUGGCGUAUCCCCCACAGGAGAUACUCAAGAGCCGUCCGGGCUCAAUCCUGUGCCAUGUGCUCUAGGACGACCCACUGCGCUCCCUUACAACGUGACCUGUUCUGUGGUUCUGUGAAACACUGCACGUCACACUGACCAUGAGGUGCUACCUGCCGCAUUAGGUGACCGCGUUCGCUAACAUGGGCGGCCCAUGAGGGCAGACACUAGGCCGGAUCAGCGCCGCUCACGCCGGGCUGCGGCCGCCUGCACUCCGCCUGCGCUGCCCCGCGGUGCCGGUCCCGAAAGGAACGGCACUGCCGGGCCCCCAGGCCGCCCUCCGUGCCCGCCGGCUCGGGGUGAGCCCUCCGCCCACCGCACGGCCGGGAAGCGCGGAGCUCUCCCGGGGCCGAGGGCCUGCACCGCCCGGGCCGGCGCGGCGCCCACGCGGCGGGGCCGGCGCGGCAGCCCAGCUCCCUCCCCCAUAUCCCUGGCGCUCCCCCGCCUCACCAUGGCGGGAGCGGAGCCUUCCUGACCGACUUAUUCCCGGGCUCGGGCGGCGCGGGGCCCAGCGAACAGCGGUGAGCCAGGAGGCAGCGGCAGCGGCGCGGGAGAGGCGGGCGCGGUGGCGGCGGGCGCUUAUAUAGCGGAGCGGCGCCGCCUCCAUCCGGGCGCCGCGGGACCUUUCACCCGCCCGCCGGGCGCGGAAGCCGUGAGGGCUCCGCUUCCUGCGGGGAUGGAUGGAUGGCGGCCCUGUAGUCCCGGCUCGUGGCGAGCGGAGCGGGAUCUGGGGCUGGCAGCUCCUGUGCCCCCUCCUCGGGCUUGGCCCUUCCCGCUCGGGUCCCGCGGGCAUCUCGAGCUCCCUCUUGCCUUUCCCGGGAGAUUCCGGUGUUCUGCUGGGGGGAGGGCCGGGAGUUGGCGCACAGGCGAGGCUUCAUCGCUUCCAGUGACAGCGAACCCGUACCCGUCUGAGCCUUUGGGUCUUUUCAUCUUCUUUCGCUACUGAAAGCGACAGGACGAGAGGCAACGGUCUUAAGUUGUGCCAGGGGAGGUUUAUGUUGGAAUUUAGUAGGGAUUUAUUUAUUCGCAGAAAGGGUGAUUAGACAUUGGAAGGGGCUGCCCAGGGAGAUGGUGGGCGCUGUUCCUGGAGGUGUUUAAGGAACGGCUGGAUGUGCCAUGGUUUAGCUGGAUGUGGUGGUGUUCGGGCACAGGUUGCACUCGAUGGCCCCAGCGGUCUGGUCCAGCCCAGUGUGAAUCUGUCAAGUGGAGCUGCGAGAGCAGAAUUGAAUGUUUUAAGUAAAAGCGCUCGUUAUAUUCAUGCUUAAAUUUAAAAACUUAAAUGAAUUUUAUUUAUGGAAGGUCCAUUAUCUGUUCAGUUUGGGCAUUGGAGGGAUAUUUCUUACUGAGCGUUGUCGUUGAUUUGGCCUGGACAGUAAUUCUUAGUCCCAAGCCAAGUGUUUUGCUGAAAAUAUGUCUGUUUCAAGUUAGCUCACUGGAGAACCUGAGAAACAUGUAUUGAAAUGAUGGCUUAUAGUAGGGUCACUAUGAGUAUCUUUUAAAAUUAAUUACUAAAUUCUAAUUUAGAGUUAUGUCCAGGAAUCAUAGACAUGUGUAAUGUUAGCAUAACUACUGCACCUGUGGAAGCUUAGUUAUUACUACAGUUAUUCAAGAAAGUUUGCUUGGUAUUUUAAGAUGAGCUUAUUUUCAGCUGUCACACUCUGCUUUAAUGUUUUUAUUUUCCUUGCCAGUUGCUUUAGAUGUCUUCAUUUGGUCCUUAAACCUCAUGUGAUGCAGUUAACUUUUAUAUGCCAACUAUUCCAUUGUUUAGGCUUGUUUACCUAAACUUGGAUUGUUUCUACUCUUUGAAAUCUCUAAUUUACUAAUAUCUUCUUUGAAAGUAUUAGAGGCUGUAUUCUGAUAAAGCAGCUCCAAAAAAUGUGGAUAAAGAAGUUGUCAUCCUGGUGCUGUUUCCUGAAAUGCAGCAAUGUCUUUUGCCAAUGGAGAUCAGUACGUGAAAAAUAUGUUUUGGUGAUACUCAUGUUUCUCUGGUCUCUUGCCAUCUGCAAUGAAAACAUCAUUUUGUUCUGGUGGUUUGUUUUGGAACCAUUUAACAAUUACAUUUAUACUAUUUUUGAACUCAUACCCAUGUUUAUUCUGUUACCAGCUAUUCCAGCUACUUCCUGAGGAAGUUUUCCAUCUAUAAGUGUUUUAAAUUCAUCACUCUUAAAUACAUGACCUCACACUGAUCAUGCUGAAGCACUUAGUUUUCCAGUAAUCCAGAUGGUUCCCAAUCAGCAGCCUUGCUGCACUAUUUACUUAGAGCUUUUAUGAAUGUUCUUAGUAAACUUUAUUUCCAGAUAAAAUACUGAGUACCUUGCUGCCAAGAACUAAUUCCUGUGGGAUUCAAUUAGAAAGACUGAGACAGACCUGUAGCCUUGGUUUUAAUUUGCUUGCUGUGAACUGUAGGUGCACGACUGUGCCAGUUUCUCUGUGUCCUACUGAAAAAGUCCAUGUGCAAAUAUGUUAUAUCAACACUGUUCCUAUUGUCCACCAAACAAAUGCUGUAAUUGCAUGAGAAAAAAAAAUCUGAAAAUAUAUGUUUUCCAUACAUUUAAGCUGUGUAAUUUAAGUACAAUUUGCUCAUUUAUUUCUUAUUCCUAUAUGAAGAAGUUGGUUUGGGUUUGGUUUUUUUUUCCCUGGGAUUAAGGUGAGGUUGAACAUAAGUGCCAAAUUUGUUCCUUUCUUACUUAUUUUCCUAGUAUUGGCAUUACCUCAGCUUUCUUUGAGAUUUUUCCUUUUUUCCUGAGCUUCCCUAAAUUUCUCAGACCUUAUGGAAAAUCCACAUUAACAGCACACAAGUCUCUUUUGCCAGCUCUUAAAAUUCUUGGAUGCAGGCUAUCUGGAGCUGCUGAUUUAAAAACCGCCUCACUUCUGUUCCUAUGUUUAAGGCUUACCAUGGCUAUUGUUGGAAUUUUCUGAUAUAUGUUGUUUUUCUCCACAAAUGUGCAACAGAAAUUUAUCUAUACUUUCUGUUUUCUCUGAAAUACGCUAUCUAUUAAAAAAUGCUCCUUCUUGCCAUUCAUGUGAGUAAAAAGCCAUUUUAAAUACAA